This 64-nucleotide transfer RNA is filed under the name Geloina coaxans. RNAcentral describes it as "tRNA-Arg". The record is from RNAcentral. Lineage: Eukaryota; Metazoa; Mollusca; Bivalvia; Venerida; Cyrenidae.
AAGUGGGUAGUGUAUUGGCAUGCGUGAUUUCGGCUCAUGAGGUGAUAUUGAUUGUUCUUACUUU